GCACAUGUAGCGGAGUAGUAACGUUCGCGACUUUGGUUCGUUAGGUCGUGGGUUCAAGGCCCGUCACAGUCA
Halocaridina rubra (Hawaiian volcano shrimp) is the source of this 72-nucleotide non-coding RNA. The record is from the annotation of a GenBank genome assembly. NCBI's taxonomy places the organism in Eukaryota, Metazoa, Arthropoda, Malacostraca, Decapoda, Atyidae.